RNAcentral lists this long non-coding RNA (1289 nucleotides) under Lathyrus oleraceus (garden pea). RNAcentral's name for it is "Pisum sativum (pea) long non-coding RNA (PSAT_LNC011589)". The record is from RNAcentral. Lineage: Eukaryota; Viridiplantae; Streptophyta; Magnoliopsida; Fabales; Fabaceae.
CUACAAAGUUCAUAGCAGAACAACCUGGUGGCAAUGGCUCAUAUCAGUUUCACAACAAACUCCUUGUAAACAUUACACAUGCAAUCAGGAAAAUCAACAUGAUAACAGAAGAUUAAUCUCUUUCAGUAUGAUAAUAACGAUCACGAAUAACAGCCAAUUUAUUUACUAACUGUUAACAUAACAUUAGAAUCUUUUAGAAGCUCAGUUCAAACAGAACCCUCUUUUUUAUGGUUCUCCACCAUAUUUCUAACACCUCUAACUAACCCACAAAACCUGUAUUUAAGCGACAUAAUUUCAAACGCAGCCGCCGUUUCUCGAAGCCAACAGCAAACACAUUAGCAACAACACAUUCAACCGGCAACACCUACUAACUUGCAGAGAUUAAUAAGCAUAACAGUAAGAAUAAUUCCUCAUAGUUGAACAAAAUUUCCAAUUAAUAAGAAAUUCUGCACUAACAGUUAAGUAAGACAAUAUAAUGAGACUUAAGAUUAACAUUAGCUUAUAAUGGAACUGAUUUUCAUUCUUGAUAGCUAGCACUUCUUCACACCUAGAAGUUCAUGGCAGUAGCAAUAGUUGAGCUUUGCAAAUAACCGAAGUGUUUCUUUUCACAAAUUUUUACUACAGUAAAACCAAGUAAUUAGCAAAGGCUGUAAAGUUAAAAAAAUAACCCAAAAGAGAAUUAAGACAAAAUUAGAGGAAGAAAGCUAAAUUCAUAUUACCGUUUCCGAUUUAACAUCAAGUAGGGCAAUCCAAACUGAGCAUACCGAAAGGAUUUCGCAGAGACCCUUUUUUGAUCUCCAGAGGCCAAUCUGAACCCUAAUUGUUGAGUAUAAAAGGUGAGAGAGGAAACGAGAAGAUGGACGAAAAAAUCUGGAAAGGCAAAGAAACCCUAAAAUUUUCCAAACAAAACCUGAUUUUGGUGACGGCGUGAAAGAACCUAGCGAGGAGAAGAAGAUACAAGCUCACCACCGCCGCCAAAUCAUCGCCAAAGGUGAGUUUUCUUACUGGAUCUUCUUUCGAAACCAUUGGUUUUCGCGUUUAGAGUGAGAUUGGGAGUGGUGUAUCGUGAGGUUAGUGGAAGCCGAUUGAGAGUUAACGAGAGAUUGAGAGUUUAAAGGAUGUCGAGAGUGAGAGCCGUUUUGCGUGAGGACGAUGAAUGAGUUUCUGGUUUCUCUGGUACAGAAAUAUUGCUAUUGUGUUUUUUUUUUUAUUAUUAUUAAUAUAUGUUUUCUUCUGGGUUGAAUUUUUAUAUACUAUAUAAAUAUCUCACUGUUAACAUUAGUUUUAUA